This 551-nucleotide ribosomal RNA is filed under the name uncultured bacterium. RNAcentral's name for it is "partial 16S ribosomal RNA". It matches the Rfam family "Bacterial small subunit ribosomal RNA", at positions 355 to 920 of the family's 1533-position model. The record is from RNAcentral.
UGGGGAAUAUUGCACAAUGGGCGAAAGCCUGAUGCAGCAACGCCGCGUGAGUGAUGAAGGUCUUCGGAUUGUAAAGCUCUGUCUUUUGGGACGAUAAUGACGGUACCAGAGGAGGAAGCCACGGCUAACUACGUGCCAGCAGCCGCGGUAACACGUAGGUGGCGAGCGUUGUCCGGAUUUACUGGGCGUAAAGGGUGCGUAGGCGGAUGUUUAAGUGAGAUGUGAAAUACCCGGGCUUAACUUGGGUGCUGCAUUUCAAACUGGAUAUCUAGAGUGCAGGAGAGGAGAAUGGAAUUCCUAGUGUAGCGGUGAAAUGCGUAGAGAUUAGGAAGAACACCAGUGGCGAAGGCGAUUCUCUGGACUGUAACUGACGCUGAGGCACGAAGGCGUGGGUAGCAAACAGGAUUAGAUACCCUGGUAGUCCACGCCGUAAACGAUGAGUACUAGGUGUAGGAGGUAUCGACCCCUUCUGUGCCGCAGUAAACACAUUAAGUACUCCGCCUGGGAAGUACGAUCGCAAGAUUAAAACUCUAAAGUGAAUUGACGGGGUC